UGGCUCAGAGGUUAAAGCGUCUGCCUCCAGUGCAGGAGACCCGGGUUCGAUCCCUGG
Ovis aries (sheep) is the source of this 57-nucleotide transfer RNA. It matches the Rfam family "tRNA", at positions 8 to 63 of the family's 71-position model. Rfam says of the family: Transfer RNA (tRNA) molecules are approximately 80 nucleotides in length. Their secondary structure includes four short double-helical elements and three loops (D, anti-codon, and T loops). Further hydrogen bonds mediate the characteristic L-shaped molecular structure. tRNAs have two regions of fundamental functional importance: the anti-codon, which is responsible for specific mRNA codon recognition, and the 3' end, to which the tRNAs corresponding amino acid is attached (by aminoacyl-tRNA synthetases). tRNAs cope with the degeneracy of the genetic code in two manners: having more than one tRNA (with a specific anti-codon) for a particular amino acid; and 'wobble' base-pairing, i.e. permitting non-standard base-pairing at the 3rd anti-codon position. The record is from Rfam. Lineage: Eukaryota; Metazoa; Chordata; Mammalia; Artiodactyla; Bovidae.